CGCACACACACACACACACACACACACACACACACACACACACACACACACACACACACACACAAUCAAGUUAAUGUAGCUUUGUAAUCUUUUAGGGGAAUCAAAAUACACAAUAAAUGGAUCUUGAUGCAAUUAAAUAUACAGACAUUUUUGAAUAAUUAUUUAUGAAUGACUCAUUAAGAGACAUAUAAACCACUAACUCAGCUGAACAGCAGGUUGAAGCUGUUUCCGUGGAGAAAGUAUUUUGUUCCGUAUCUGAACCCAUGCAUACGAGCUUCUAGCAAAUAGCAGUGGGCUCAAAAGUAUUUGGACACUAAAGUCAUGCUUAAAAUGUAGGAAUUUCAUUUCAUGGAUAACUAAAUAAAGUGGCAUCUGCAAACAAAUGAUGCCAGAGCUAAUCAGAUCUAAUGUUACUUUUCUGAACCAUUUUUGUAAUGACUGUGGUGGAACAACACGCCCCUCCUUUGGAUUAUCAUUGCCCCACCUCUUCUGAAGGCCAUCCUUCAGUCAGGCUCACAACGGGAGUGGGCAGGAGAGACACAAUUUAAAAUCCUUGUUUGGCAGCGGAUGAUGAGGCGUACCGAAUUAGAUGCACCGCCAGACCCGCCACUGUGGUGGAGAAUGCGGGUAAAGGUUGAGUGGAGAGAGCACAGAAGGUCAAACAAUGGUAAUGCAACUUGCCCUUUCUUUUUCCAGACAGCUGAAAAACCUGGAUUGUGAUGGAGAAUACAUGGGGACGGCCUCCCAACUGCCAAGAAGGGUAAGUGGCAUUUAAUAAGCAUUCACUCUGCAUCUGAUUGAGGUUGUCAUGUAUAACCCUUUUUUCUCUGUCCCCACCCAAAUGCGUGUGAGAGCGCACCCGGAAAGGUAUCCCCUACACAUCCACUCCAAACAUAGGGCCUAGUUGUGGAAGUAGCAUUCUUGUGUUGACGGCUGAAGAAGGAGCAUCUCUAGCUCUGGAGUACAAAGACAGAUAGGGGCGAGGAAGAAGGUGCCGCCAGGAUGACCCUGGGGAGUUGGGGUGGAUGUGGUUGAAUGACACGUCCCUCCCUUGAAUUAUCAUCAUCCCGCACCUUUUGAGGGGUGUCCUUCAGCCAGGCUCACAACAGUGGGUCAGUAGGGAUUGAGAAGCGUCCGGAUUGAUCCCCAGAUAUGAUCCGGUAAACCGCAUUCCAGGAAGGAGUUCCCGGUUCGUCUUUGUCUGUCACAUUUCUCGGGUGAACUCUGGAGCAUUGUCAUUGACAUCCAGCAGGCGUAUGACAGCAGUGGCGGUGUUGGACAGACCAUACAUGGGGUUUCCCUCCAUAUCGGUGGCCUGGAUGAUCAGGGUGUACUGAGGCACCUUCUGCUCGGC
Xyrauchen texanus (razorback sucker) is the source of this 1354-nucleotide long non-coding RNA. RefSeq lists it as uncharacterized. Lineage: Eukaryota; Metazoa; Chordata; Actinopteri; Cypriniformes; Catostomidae. The record is from RefSeq and is a predicted model, not a curated record. The transcript has 3 exons.